This 489-nucleotide ribosomal RNA is filed under the name uncultured bacterium. Its description in RNAcentral is "bacterial SSU rRNA". It matches the Rfam family "Bacterial small subunit ribosomal RNA", at positions 30 to 507 of the family's 1533-position model. The record is from RNAcentral.
UUGAACGCUGGCGGCAGGCCUAACACAUGCAAGUCGAACGGUAACAGGAAGAAGCUUGCUUCUUUGCUGACGAGUGGCGGACGGGUGAGUAAUGUCUGGGAAACUGCCUGAUGGAGGGGGAUAACUACUGGAAACGGUAGCUAAUACCGCAUAACGUCGCAAGACCAAAGAGGGGGACCUUCGGGCCUCUUGCCAUCGGAUGUGCCCAGAUGGGAUUAGCUAGUAGGUGGGGUAACGGCUCACCUAGGCGACGAUCCCUAGCUGGUCUGAGAGGAUGACCAGCCACACUGGAACUGAGACACGGUCCAGACUCCUACGGGAGGCAGCAGUGGGGAAUAUUGCACAAUGGGCGCAAGCCUGAUGCAGCCAUGCCGCGUGUAUGAAGAAGGCCUUCGGGUUGUAAAGUACUUUCAGCGGGGAGGAAGGGAGUAAAGUUAAUACCUUUGCUCAUUGACGUUACCCGCAGAAGAAGCACCGGCUAACUCCGUG